UACGUAGGGUGCAAGCGUUUGUCCGGAAUUAUUGGGCGUAAAGAGCUCGUAGGCGGUUUGUUGCGUUCGGCUGUGAAAUCCCGAGGCUCAACCUCGGGUCUGCAGUCGAUACGAGCAAACUAGAGUGUUGCAGGGGAGACUGGAAUUCCUGGUGUAGCGGUGAAAUGCGCAGAUAUCAGGAGGAACACCGGUGGCGAAGGCAGGUCUCUGGGCAUUAACUGACGCUGAGGAGCGAAAGCAUGGGGGAGCGAACAGG
This 256-nucleotide ribosomal RNA is filed under the name uncultured bacterium. RNAcentral's name for it is "partial 16S ribosomal RNA". It matches the Rfam family "Bacterial small subunit ribosomal RNA", at positions 524 to 776 of the family's 1533-position model. The record is from RNAcentral.